GGUGUGAUUUGAUUCGAGCAUGCACGAUAUUUGAUCUUCAAUGUUUGAGCUUAGGACCCCUAGGAUCUUGCCUACAUCAUUGAUAGUCCUUAGCCCCAUUACAACCAAAGAAGAAAGACCUUUUUGAGCCAUAAUGUGACUGCGAAAUAUCAUGACUAAUUGGAGUUUCUUCUUGUGUGAGAAUUACCUUAUCUUAUGGAGAGAUUGAAUGGGCGUGAGAGUUGCACUCAUUGUUGCCUAAUUUGGACUAGAUUGAUAAUGAAAACACACUUUGGAGGUUCAUGUUCUUAGUUCGAGAGUUGGGAAGUGAUGGUGAAUUGCAUGAUUUGAUUUGAUAGACUGUUUCGUUCCUGAUGCUUUGAUGUUGCUUGGCUAGUCGUUUGGUUUGUCGUGUCUUGUCUCGUUUCUUUUUACUUUCCUGUUCUUUGCGUGUGUCGUUGUGUCUGUUUUCCGUUCUUUCGUUUCUAGAGUCUUCGUGUCAAGGAAAGGAGUUGCUUCUAGGGGUUGAAUUUCACCAUUAAUUCUUCUCUUAUUUCAUACCUGAGGACAAGUAUGAUCUAAGUGUGAGGGGAUUUGAUGUGUGUAUUUUAGUUACCUAGUUUAGUGUGCGUUUCGCCGUGGUUUCAUGUGAUAUUACAUAGUUUGCUAUGUUUUGGCGCAGGAAUAAGAAGAAUUGGAGAUGGAGCUGCUAUCUGGAAGAAAUUGGAGAAAGACGAGCUUUUGACGAAGAUAAUGGACUGUGAAGAAGAAGUUUUGAGAUCGGGCUUGGAAUUAAUUGUCUAGAAUUUAUUUAGUCCAAAACUCUUAUUUUUAAUUAUAUUUUGAGGCCUUAUUUUGAUUAAGGGCCGAAGCCCAUGUUGCUAGGAGGUGGGCGGCAGCCUUAGGGAUUUUAAUCCCUCAUGUUUUGCUUAGUUAGGGCAGCCGCAUAGUUAGUAUAUAAUUAGGUUAUAAUUCUUAUUCUAUUACUAUUAGAACAGCCGCA
This 982-nucleotide long non-coding RNA is filed under the name Salvia miltiorrhiza (redroot sage). Its description in RNAcentral is "long non-coding RNA (SMIL_LNC001385)". The record is from RNAcentral. Lineage: Eukaryota; Viridiplantae; Streptophyta; Magnoliopsida; Lamiales; Lamiaceae.